GGGACAUGUGAAAAAUGUAAGGCCAGCAUACUUCUGAGUAAAGGUAAACUAAAGUAUACAAAUGCCCCGACCUCAGUUCUUAUAACAAUAAGCAAUCUCAACAGUCGUAUGUUAUUGGCGACGAGUGAAACGCACAAGAGAAGAAUGCAAUUUACAAGACGAACUACGUGCGUACCCCUGCUCCUGUGUCCCCUCAGAUCAGCACAUCCUGUCCCAGGUACUGGCGUUGCUGGGCGUGUUGGGGGCAUACUGUUUCCUCUACCUCUUAUCCACUGAGCUCUUGCCAACUG
This is a long non-coding RNA of Oncorhynchus tshawytscha (Chinook salmon), 290 nucleotides long. The record is from Ensembl. Lineage: Eukaryota; Metazoa; Chordata; Actinopteri; Salmoniformes; Salmonidae.